ACAUCACAAUGAAACGUUGUCGUAAUACUAACUAAACGGUAUUGAGCCGAUCCCUACUGUCAAUAGUCAACCUUUUCGCCGCCUUUGCAGCCGCCGCCAAUCGGAGUUGCUCUCCAACUGACGUGAGGUUCCCUUUGCUGCAAUUGGAGGAGAGCUCAGACAGCAUUUGUGGAAGGUCAUCAAUGGGGUAGGUGAUGGAGAAUGGGAAGACAGCUGAUGUGGAAACUGUUCAUUUACUUUUUCAUCUUUGUCUAAUUUCUAACUACCUCGUGCAGUCGUGCUAUUCUCAUGGUCAAAUUUCAUAGUAUUAUUUUAUUCUCUUGAAAAAGAAAAAGGAAAAACAUUCCUACUCCGGGAUUUUUUUUUCUUUCAUAGUAAAAAAAAGAAAAGAAAUCUUGUGUAUUUUUUUUUUUUGGGUGUUCGGAUUAUUUUUGUUAAAAGACCCAAAAUUAAGAUACAAAUGUGUAAUUUUCCUAUAUUUAAUUAUAAAGCAACCUGACAUGUCGUUAUA
Molecule: long non-coding RNA, 511 nt
Organism: Salvia miltiorrhiza (redroot sage)
Lineage: Eukaryota; Viridiplantae; Streptophyta; Magnoliopsida; Lamiales; Lamiaceae
Exons: 2
Source: RefSeq, a predicted model, not a curated record